UUUAUUGCUUUGAUUAGGAGUAGUAUUAUAAAGGUUAUCCUCAAGAGAGCUGUUGGUUGCUGUAAAACAGUGUUUAACUUAUAAGAACUUGCCUAUGAGCUUACUUGUUAAAAGCAAGUACGGGAGAACCGUUAUAAAUUUGAGUGAGAAAAAUAUUAUUUUUUCUAAUAAGAGUGGUACCGCGAAUAUGUCCUUCGUCUCUUAA
RNAcentral lists this non-coding RNA (205 nucleotides) under Clostridium sp. RNAcentral describes it as "T-box sequence". It matches the Rfam family "T-box leader". Rfam says of the family: Uncharged tRNA acts as the effector for transcription antitermination of genes in the T-box leader family. T-boxes are found upstream of many aminoacyl-tRNA synthetase genes and some amino acid biosynthetic genes usually in Gram-positive bacteria. The record is from RNAcentral. Lineage: Bacteria; Bacillati; Bacillota; Clostridia; Eubacteriales; Clostridiaceae.